Long non-coding RNA from Macaca mulatta (Rhesus monkey), 2039 nucleotides. NCBI's taxonomy places the organism in Eukaryota, Metazoa, Chordata, Mammalia, Primates, Cercopithecidae. The record is from Ensembl.
AGAUUGUGGGACUUCAGUCUCCUCUUCUGUAAAACGAGGAUAAGGGUGCCUUCCUCCCGCGGGGUUGGAGGGAUUGUCCGUGGCCAUGUGAGGACAUCAGCGCAGCCUGGGGAUACACCAGCACUCACUCGGGUGUUGCUGACCCUGGGGAGACGGAAGGAGCAGCCGACUUGCACAGAGAAGAAAGCAAAACACUCUGGUGGUUAAGGGCACUGCCGCAGUUGCUGUCACAGGGACUGGCGUUCCCUGUCGGGAGGGAUAUGGCUCUGCUGUGAACCAGGCCGAAGGAAUUUCAUGGCCUCUCAGCUUGGAACGUUGAGAAUUUUAAACCUACCCAGAUGUUUCACGCCUGGCUGUCCCAGGAAAAUUCUCUUUUUUUCUUUUAUUUCUUUAUUCUUCAAUUUGGGCAAAUACCUACUUGGAAAAGCAGCGUAAAGCAUGUGCUCCCUGCAGCGCCUACGUGGGGCGGCUGCCCUGGGGUCUUUACAGGGUGUUUGGUGCAAACUGCCUCUGUUGACCAAAGUCGAAACCAAUUCUGUCCUUAGCCCCAUCAAUUCCAAUUGUGGAAAUGUAUUCAAUAAAUGAAUUCACACCUGAACAAAAUGUACGUUCACACACAGUUGUCGGAAGAUUGUCUGGAGACCGGAGAACGCUCUCACAGGGCCUGGCUGGACACUGCGUGCUCAUCCACAUCAGGGGGCCUCACAGGUUCUUCCCACAGGAGCCCCGCACACCUGUGCUGACAGCAGCCACCAUGGAACUGUAUCUGAGUGAGGGGCCCCGGAGCGGCCACGUGUGUGUGAGCUCCCAUCGGCGCAAAUGGGGACACAGGCAGGUGCCCCGUCCACCACCUAUCCUGUCCCUGCUCAGUGUCAGCCUCCUUGCUGAGUGUGGUCCCAUCGGCAAGUUUUCAGAUGAAUCAAGGAUGCUCCAGCAGGGCCACACAUGUAUCCCCCACUCUGCUGAUGGACCAGAGGCUCCCCAGACACGGAAGCCAGAUGUCACCAUGCUGGUCCCUAGAGCAGCCGUGCGGGGCAUGGAGCAGCAGAACUCAGAGCUCAGGCAGGGCUGAUGCGGGAAAGCCGGCCACCCCGUGCUGCGGCCCCCAUGGGGGAAGGAGCUCACCUGAAGGGGGCGCUCUCAUUGGCUGGGAACCUCCAGUGACUCCACAGCACUCUCCUGAGUUGUGCCAGACACCUUCAAAACAGUCACUGGGCUGAAAAGUGACCAGGCCACGGGGUCGAGCUGUGAAGAUGAGUUGGCCGUGGUUGUGGAUGGCGAGGGAGGGAGCAGCCCCGGCCUGGGCUCUGGCAGCCCUGCUGAGUCCAUCUCCCUGAGGAUGGGCCGGGCUGAGCCGGGACUGGCACUCCAUGAUGUGGAGCGGGGCGUGCUGGUGUGGAGCGGGGUGUGCUGGUGUGGAGCGGGGCGUGCUGGUGUGGAGCGGGGCGUGCUGGUGUGGAGCAGGGCGUGCUGGGGGAGCCUUUGCUGGGAAAGACUCCUGCUGAGAGGAGCCCUGUGUCGUGGAGGCUGUGGUUCCGAAUCUCUCAGCAGGUGUUCUCUGCUCAUUCAAGUUAACUAAACUAUAAAUCACACCUGCCACAUCCCAUUCCCACGAUGCUCAUUUCUUGUUAGAAAGUUCUCUGGGCAUCAGGAGUAGCUCGAUACGCAAAAUGAAGCAGGUGUGGCAGCUUCAGACAACCGAGUGUCCGCUGGGCUCUGCCUGCAGGUGUCUCCUGUUUCAUGAAACCAACUUGGCCCUGAUCGGCCCAUUAUGUUAGGGAGGGCGGAGUUCGCUCCUGGUGAUGGAGGGGCCGGCUCUGGGAGGAUGAACGAGGCUCAAACAAGAUGACAUGACUGUGGCAGGUGUUCCUGCCCAGGUCCCUCUGACAUUGCAGGUGCCAUGCUCCAUUGUCCCGCUCCACCCACGUCCUCCUUUGUCCCAUCUCUAGAGGCAUCCAGGAAUGCCCAUCUCAAGGGAAUUCCUCCCUAAGCCCAUGUUCUCUCCCAGCACGCCCUUUAGUUCUCCUCCAAUUUACAGC